Molecule: small RNA, 108 nt
Filed under: Devosia sp. Root413D1
Lineage: Bacteria; Pseudomonadati; Pseudomonadota; Alphaproteobacteria; Hyphomicrobiales; Devosiaceae
Also listed under: 1 other name
Description: Guanidine-I riboswitch aptamer
Rfam family: Guanidine-I riboswitch aptamer
About the family: This family represents a conserved RNA structure found upstream of the ykkC and yxkD genes in Bacillus subtilis and related genes in other bacteria.
Source: Rfam by way of RNAcentral
GAGACUGGUGGCUAGGGUUCCGACGCUUUUUGCGUGUCUGGUCCGAGAGCUGCCACCGGCGGGCGCCACAGUCCGCCGGACGCACGGCGGGACAAAAGCCCGGGAGAC